UGGUGGAGCGAUUUGUCUGGUUAAUUCCGAUAACGAACGAGACUCUAGCCUAUUAAAUAGUUCGCCGAUCCACGUUACGUCGGCGUCAACUUCUUAGAGGGACAAGUGGCGUUUAGCCACGCGAGAUUGAGCAAUAACA
RNAcentral lists this ribosomal RNA (139 nucleotides) under uncultured eukaryote. RNAcentral describes it as "partial 18S ribosomal RNA". It matches the Rfam family "Eukaryotic small subunit ribosomal RNA", at positions 1299 to 1458 of the family's 1831-position model. The record is from RNAcentral.